AAUGGGCGAAAGCCUGAUGCAGCAACGCCGCGUGCGGGACGAAGGCCUUCGGGUUGUAAACCGCUUUUCUGAGGGACGAGCAAGGACGGUACCUCAGGAAUAAGUCUCGGCUAACUACGUGCCAGCAGCCGCGGUAAAACGUAGGAGGCGAGCGUUAUCCGGAUUUACUGGGCGUAAAGCGCACGCAGGUGGCUGCGUAAGUCGGACAUGAAAGCUCCUGGCUUAACUGGGAGAGGUGGUUCGAAACUGCGUAGCUUGAGGUUGGGAGAGGGACGUGGAAUUCCCGGUGUAGUGGUGGAAUGCGUAGAUAUCGGGAGGAACACCAGUGGCGCAAGCGGCGUCCUGGCCCACACCUGACGCUGAGGUGCGAAAGCGUGGGUAGCAAA
This 386-nucleotide ribosomal RNA is filed under the name uncultured bacterium. RNAcentral describes it as "bacterial SSU rRNA". It matches the Rfam family "Bacterial small subunit ribosomal RNA", at positions 370 to 772 of the family's 1533-position model. The record is from RNAcentral.